Molecule: ribosomal RNA, 1140 nt
Filed under: metagenome
Description: bacterial LSU rRNA
Rfam family: Bacterial large subunit ribosomal RNA
Source: RNAcentral
UACAAGGCGGAUGGCUAAGCCCAUAUACGAUGGAAUAGAAGGUAGGAAGGACGUCCAAGAAAAGCUUCGAUCAUUAAACGUGACCGUACUAAAACUGACACAGGUAGGCGGGUCGAGAAGACUAAGGCGCUCGAGAGAAUGGUGGUUAAGGAACUCUGCAAAUUGGCCCCGUAAGUUCGCGAUAAGGGGUGCCCUCGGUGGUGAGAGCUGCUGGGGGCCACAGAAAAUCGGCUCCUGCGACUGUUUAUCAAAAACACAGGACUCUGCAAACUCGUAAGAGGAAGUAUAGGGUCUGACGCCUGCCCGGUGCCGGUAGGUUAAGGAAGACGGUUAGUCCUUCGGGAUGAAGCUGGCGACCGAAGCCCCGGUAAACGGCGGCCGUAACUAUGACGGUCCUAAGGUAGCGAAGUUCCUUGUCGGGUAAGUUCCGACCUGCAUGAAAGGCGUAACGACAGGAGCACUGUCUCAACCACCAACUCGGUGAAAUUGUAGUCGUGGUGAAGAUGCCACGUACCCGCGGUUAGACGGAAAGACCCCGUGAACCUUUACUGUAGGCAGAUAUUGGGCUGAGGUAUGUUUUGUGUAGGAUAGGUGGGAGGCUUUGAUCUGGUAGCGCCAGCUAUCAAGGAGCCGUCCUUGAAAUACCACCCUGAAUAUGUUUUAGUUCUAACCAUGAUCCAGUGAAUCCUGGCAUGGGACAUUGUCUGUUGGGCAGUUUGACUGGGGCGGUCUCCUCCCAAAGAGUAACGGAGGAGUGCAAAGGUACCCUCAGCCUGGUUGGCAAUCAGGCAUCGAGCGCAAAGGUAGAAGGGUGCUUGACUGCGAGACUCAUAAGUCGAGCAGAUACGAAAGUAGGUCUUAGUGAUCCGGUGGUUCCGAAUGGAAGGGCCAUCGCUCAUCAGAUAAAAGGUACUCCGGGGAUAACAGGCUUAUCGCUCCCGAGCGUCCAUAGCGGCGGAGCGGUUUGGCACCUCGAUGUCGGCUCAUCACAUCCUGGGGGUGAAGAAGCUCCCAAGGGUUUGGCUGUUCGCCAAUGAAAGUGGUACGUGAGCUGGGUUCAGACCGUCGUGAGACAGGUCGGUCCCUAUCUGCCGUGGGCGUACGAAACUUGAGGAGGUUCUCUUUAGUACGAGAGGAUUU